Molecule: ribosomal RNA, 305 nt
Filed under: uncultured bacterium
Lineage: Bacteria
Description: partial 16S ribosomal RNA
Rfam family: Bacterial small subunit ribosomal RNA
Source: RNAcentral
ACCUACGGGGGGCAGCAGUGGGGGAUAUUGCACAAUGGGGGGAACCCUAAUGCAGCGACGCCGCGUGGGUGAAGAAGCGCCUCGGCGCGUAAAGCCCUGUCAGCAGGGAAGAAAAUGACGGUACCUGAAGAAGAAGCCCCGGCUAACUACGUGCCAGCAGCCGCGGUAAUACGUAGGGGGCAAGCGUUAUCCGGAUUUACUGGGUGUAAAGGGGGCGCAGACGGCGAUGCAAGCCAGGAGUGAAAGCCCGGGGCCCAACCCCGGGACUGCUCUUGGAACUGCGGGGCUGGAGGGCAGGAGGGGCA